AUUGAACGCUGGCGGCAUGCCUUACACAUGCAAGUCGAACGGUAACGGGCCUUCGGGUGCCGACGAGUGGCGAGCGGGUGAGUAAUACAUCGGAACGUGCCCGAUCGUGGGGGAUAACGAGGCGAAAGCUUUGCUAAUACCGCAUACGAUCUACGGAUGAAAGCAGGGGACCGCAAGGCCUUGCGCGGACGGAGCGGCCGAUGGCAGAUUAGGUAGUUGGUGGGAUAAAAGCUUACCAAGCCGACGAUCUGUAGCUGGUCUGAGAGGAUGAUCAGCCACACUGGGACUGAGACACGGCCCAGACUCCUAAGGGAGGCAGCAGUGGGGAAUUUUGGACAAUGGGCGCAAGCCUGAUCCAGCCAUGCCGCGUGCAGGAUGAAGGCCUUCGGGUUGUAAACUGCUUUUGUACGGAACGAAAAGCCUUCUUUUAAUACAGGAGGGUCAUGACGGUACCGUAAGAAUAAGCACCGGCUAACUACGUG
Molecule: ribosomal RNA, 482 nt
Filed under: uncultured bacterium
Lineage: Bacteria
Description: partial 16S ribosomal RNA
Rfam family: Bacterial small subunit ribosomal RNA
Source: RNAcentral